CAAGCAUAGCAGCAUAUGGUGAAGAUUCAUCCCUGUCAGCUUUAACCUUCAUCCCACCUGUGAUGCGAACCAGGGUUUCUCUCCCAGACAAAUCAGUGACAUGAAUGAAUGUAUCAUUAGAAGAAGCAAAGAUAUGUGCAACCCCAAAAACAUGUUCUCCUUCUCUUACAGCAGGACCAAGGGUGACAUUCUCUUCCUUUGGUUCUCUUGUCUUCUUCUUCGACAUGGCUCAAAGGCUUAUUGGAUUAGAAGAUGAUAGAGGUUGCUGGGAGAGGAACACCGGCGGGUUGCA
This 292-nucleotide unclassified non-coding RNA is filed under the name Hevea brasiliensis (rubber tree). Lineage: Eukaryota; Viridiplantae; Streptophyta; Magnoliopsida; Malpighiales; Euphorbiaceae. The record is from RNAcentral.